Molecule: ribosomal RNA, 1242 nt
Filed under: Triticum aestivum (bread wheat)
Lineage: Eukaryota; Viridiplantae; Streptophyta; Magnoliopsida; Poales; Poaceae
Description: partial small subunit ribosomal RNA
Source: RNAcentral
AUGAUUAGAGGUUUCAAAUUUGGUUCAGUUCAGAAAAGAGUUCCAGGUUCAGAAAUGAUUAGUAAUGGUGCAUUGCAGCAGCAGGGGCAUUAUACAUCGCAGCAAGAGGAAAUUCCAGCAAAAGAAAGCAACUCACAUGCUGAUUUGGGGCCCAAUAUGCAGAAAGAUGGGACCACUAGCACAACUGAUCAAUACAUAAUUGUUUUAGCCAAAGACAGAAUGUUUGCUCCCCAAGCAGCAGCACAUCAGUACAGACCAAGGAACUCGGGGGGCAGCAGAAUUAGGUCAGUGGCACCAGGAACUAAACCGAAGCUUCGAUGGUGCCCGACAGGGCUCAUACAUACUCAGAAAAGAAGGGUGCAGCGGCUGCGGGCAUUGGAAAUUAGAGAGGAACUAGCUGAGAAGAAGCGCGACGAGUGGUUCAAUAAAGAUAAACCAAUGGUGCCCUCGAAUAUGACUUGGAAAGAGAAGCGCAUCGCAAGGGAGGAAUGCAAUAGUGCUAAUGACAUGGUUAUGGAUGGAAACUCUAAGGAUAAACAGGAUAUGCCUGCGGAUAUGGACAUUGAUAUGGUAUUUGAGCUGCCUGCUGAAUUUCGUGCGCCUAAGGCUGAAGAGGCCGAAGUUGCAGAACUUGUUCUUGGCCCAAAAAGUGUUAUAUUUGAGAAACCAAAGAAGCAUGGACAACACCUAAAGCCUUUGUUUAUCAAGGGUCACAUUGAUGGUAAACCUAUUGGUCGCAUGCUUGUUGACGGCGGUGCCGGUGUUAAUAUCAUGCCUUUUUCGGGUUUUUCUAAGUUGGGCCGAAAAGAGGAAGAACUGAUGAAAACCAAUAUGGGACUUAGUGGGUUUUCAGGAUACUUGUCUGAAGCUAAGGGUGUUAUUUCUAUGGAGCUCACGGUUGGUAGCAAAACAUUGCCGACUGCUUUCUUUGUUGUUGAUGUCAAAGGCCGAUAUAAUAUUCUUUUGGGGCGCGAUUGGAUCCAUGCAAAUUGUUGCAUCCCUUCUACUCUACAGCAAUGUUUGAUUCAGUGGGUUGAUGAUGAUGUUGAAGUGGUUGAGGCGGAUAAUUCGGCCUGCAUUGCUUUGGCUGAGGCUCCGGUUGAUUGGCAACACUGUGAGAUGUCAUGCUUGACGGGUAGAGAUUUAUCAGAUUAUGAUUAUAUUAGUAUUGGCAGAGAUGGUUUUGUUCCUGUACAUGCACAGCCGGCUAGUGUAGCUCGGCUUAAUGACUUAUCCUUGUGA